GGGUUGGCUGCACUUUCCCUCUUGUUUUAAUUAAUCACAAGACCUCAUCCAUGGUAAGGAUGAGGUCGCCGGUUCGAGUCCGGCAGGAAGCUCCA
This 95-nucleotide transfer RNA is filed under the name Salicibibacter cibi. RNAcentral's name for it is "Salicibibacter sp. NKC21-4 tRNA-Thr". The record is from RNAcentral. Lineage: Bacteria; Bacillati; Bacillota; Bacilli; Caryophanales; Bacillaceae.